GUACACAGGACAGAACAGGAUGAUCUUUCGAGUGCCCUUCUACCUGCAGGGGUAUAUGGUGAGGACAGUUUCCACACCGUAAGUCAACACAAGAUACUGCCACCUUCAGCGGGUCAGGCCACGAGAGGUCAAUGGUGCCUACCUCCCCACUGCUUCCUUCCUCCCUCCUGUCCGCGAUGGUGCGCGCCAGGGCCCCGCGUUACCGCUUCCUUUUCAGGGCUGUCCCGAUACGCAUCCCUUCCAAUAAAUGAAGAUUUCCAUCUCAGUGAACAAAAACAAGUCAACGCACCAACAAAAUGGGCUACCUUCCAGGGUUGGUCUGCUGACAGAUUAAAAAGUGUGUCAACACAGCUUUAUAUUACCAAACAUUGCAAAGCAGAAGCCUUUGUUUGUUUUGUUUUGCUUUGUUCUCCUGGUUUCAUGGUAAUGUCAGUGGACCCACGCCUCCCCCCGUGCAAAGGUAGACGGACCACGUUCUGCUGGCCUGGCCGGGACCUUGAGAUGUCAAAGUGUCAGCGAGUUGCAGCGGUCAGUGUCUCACUCCUGCCAAAUGAAUUGGCCAGGACAGCGACAGCAAGGCACCAGUACUGAACAAACAGCAACACAACGCUCCAUCAAAUAGAUGGUGGAAAAAGCGGAAGGGCCAGAAACUAAAUCAGGACAGUGCCUUUUACGAACAGGCUCCAAGCCUUUCCAUUAGAAAAAAAAAGAAAAAGAGUUAUCAGAUGAGUAAACACAGCCUACCUCUGAAUGAGGAUUCAACGAUCCUUAGAAGGGUUAUCAGCCAGGCCAACUAGCCUCGGAGAGCUCAUGGAAACCCCUCUUAUCUCCUGGAAAAAUAAAUAUGAGAAACACAAUAAAGCUACUCUCA
Molecule: long non-coding RNA, 871 nt
Filed under: Felis catus (domestic cat)
Lineage: Eukaryota; Metazoa; Chordata; Mammalia; Carnivora; Felidae
Description: lncRNA (ENSFCAG00000053627.1)
Source: RNAcentral